This 253-nucleotide ribosomal RNA is filed under the name uncultured bacterium. RNAcentral describes it as "partial 16S ribosomal RNA". It matches the Rfam family "Bacterial small subunit ribosomal RNA", at positions 524 to 776 of the family's 1533-position model. The record is from RNAcentral.
UACGGGGGGGGCAAGCGUUGUUCGGAAUUACUGGGCGUAAAGGGCUCGUAGGUGGCCAACUAAGUCGGACGUGAGAUCCCUCGGCUUAACCGGGGAACUGCGUCCGAUACUGGUUGGCUUGAGUUUGGGAGAGGGAUGCGGAAUUCCAGGUGUAGCGGUGAAAUGCGUAGAUAUCUGGAGGAACACCGGUGGCGAAGGCGGCAUCCUGGACCAAUACUGACGCUGAGGAGCGAAAGCCAGGGGAGCAAACGGG